This is a long non-coding RNA of Scatophagus argus, 657 nucleotides long. RefSeq lists it as uncharacterized. The transcript has 3 exons. NCBI's taxonomy places the organism in Eukaryota, Metazoa, Chordata, Actinopteri, Scatophagidae. The record is from RefSeq and is a predicted model, not a curated record.
UGCGACUACAAGCAGCGGAAGCGCUGCGUUACGUUGUCGUUACUCUGCCGGAAAACUGAGAAAAACUUGAGAGAAAGCAACACAAUGUAGACAACAAAUAGCUGCAGCUGCAAUGGAGGGCUCCCAUUUGGUUCUCACCCACAGACUCCAGUUCAGAUUGAUUGGGUCCUGUCUGCUCGGAGGCAACAAUGAUCCAUUGAGGUCUUUAGCAGGAAAAGCAGCAGAAUCAACUGCACAAGAGCAUCAGCUGGAGGCUCCAAACGAUGGCAAAGUGAAGUGCUGCUAAUUGCCUCUCAAGGUGUUCUUUGUUUUGUUUCUCUCGCAACCACAUCAUUUGUAGGACAUGCUCUCUACAAUCCGAGAAGAGCUACAUGAGCAUUAUCAUCCCUUUAUGAAACCCUGAAACUCACUAAAAGCAGAUAGUGUAUUUUUUUUUCUCUGUGAAGCUGAUAAGGCUAGAGGCUCUGUUUCUUGGUUAUUAAUUCUGCCUUUAAAGUUAAUAAAAUGCAUAAUAAAAACAAUUCAAUUUGGAGUCACCCUCUGUUUGUCAGUGAUUCCACACUUUAGCAGGUGUGUCUGCACCUCCAUGUCUCAACCGUUGUGUUGUUCACAACUCAUCUAAUGACUGCAGCAACAAACAGAUCUUCCUCCUAAAAA